Molecule: ribosomal RNA, 253 nt
Filed under: uncultured bacterium
Lineage: Bacteria
Description: partial 16S ribosomal RNA
Rfam family: Bacterial small subunit ribosomal RNA
Source: RNAcentral
GACGGAGGAUGCAAGUGUUGUCCGGAAUCACUGGGCGUAAAGCGUCUGUAGGUGGUCAAAUAAGUCAACUGUUAAAUCUUGAGGCUUAACCUCAAAAUCGCAGUCGAAACUAUUAGACUAGAGUAUAGUAGGGGUAAAGGGAAUUUCCAGUGGAGCGGUGAAAUGCGUAGAGAUGUGGAGGAACACCGAUGGCGAAGGCAGCCCCCUGGGUCAAGAUUGACGCUCAUGCACGAAAGCGUGGGGAGCAAACAGG